AGGUGGGGGGGUGAUCUGGCUAUGACUUCUAUCACUCCACUGAUGGCCGGGGCUGAUCUGACUGGCUGGGAGGGUGUCCCCUUCUUCUCCCACUGCUCCAUGUGCCUCCCUCCUGAAGCUUCCCAGAUAGAAUAGAUAGAACUGGAGGACCAUUCUCCAGUCAAUGGUAUAUGAGCAGGGGCACUCUCUUGCUAUAACCUUAAGACAAGAACAAGGCUCCAAGACUGAGACUAGACAGAUCCAUGCAAAGAGGUCUCAGGGGAUAAAAUCAUGUUUUCCUUCUGCCU
Sus scrofa (pig) is the source of this 287-nucleotide non-coding RNA. It matches the Rfam family "7SK RNA". From Rfam's summary of the family: 7SK was discovered as an abundant small nuclear RNA in the mid-70s but a possible function has only recently been suggested. Two independent studies have found that 7SK RNA binds the CDK9/cyclin T complex (known as elongation factor P-TEFb). P-TEFb activates transcription by phosphorylating the C-terminal domain of RNA polymerase II. Lineage: Eukaryota; Metazoa; Chordata; Mammalia; Artiodactyla; Suidae. The record is from Rfam.